Molecule: non-coding RNA, 140 nt
Organism: Caenorhabditis elegans
Lineage: Eukaryota; Metazoa; Nematoda; Chromadorea; Rhabditida; Rhabditidae
Source: Ensembl
ACAAUUUUUUUUUUCAUUUUUCUUCCCUAUAGUCCGCUGUCCUUUGAAAGAUUGUCAAGGGACCAUGCAGGAGAAAAGGAGUACGGAUAGGAUAGCGAGGAGGAAAAAAAAUUGGCGCGCAUGUUGCAUGCUUGACAUAG